This 363-nucleotide ribosomal RNA is filed under the name Triticum aestivum (bread wheat). RNAcentral's name for it is "partial small subunit ribosomal RNA". The record is from RNAcentral. Lineage: Eukaryota; Viridiplantae; Streptophyta; Magnoliopsida; Poales; Poaceae.
AUGAAUAUUUUCUGCUGGAACUGUCGUGGUGUGGGUAAAGCUGCGAUAGAUCGAGAGCUUCGUGAUUUCGCGAGGCAAUUUGCCCCUACCCUUUUUUGUAUUCUUGAAACUCAGAUGGAUAGUGCAAGGGUAGAAGCAUUAGCGAGUACACUUGGUUUUGAUAAUUCUUAUGCAGUUAGUAGUCAAGGUAGAAGUGGAGGAAUAGGACUGUUUUGGAACAAUUCAAUAAAAGUGGAAAUUCUUGGUUAUUCCGUUUACCACCUCGAUGUUUCUGUUGAGGAACAAGACGUAGAGAAGUGGAGAUUGACUUGUGUUUAUGGAGAGGCACAAACUAAUAUGAGGAAUGAAGGAAAUAUGCCCUAG